AUUGAACGCUGGCGGCAGGCCUAACACAUGCAAGUCGAGCGGAUGAAGGGAGCUUGCUCCUGGAUUCAGCGGCGGACGGGUGAGUAAUGCCUAGGAAUCUGCCUGGUAGUGGGGGAUAACGUCCGGAAACGGGCGCUAAUACCGCAUACGUCCUGAGGGAGAAAGUGGGGGAUCUUCGGACCUCACGCUAUCAGAUGAGCCUAGGUCGGAUUAGCUAGUUGGUGGGGUAAAGGCCUACCAAGGCGACGAUCCGUAACUGGUCUGAGAGGAUGAUCAGUCACACUGGAACUGAGACACGGUCCAGACUCCUACGGGAGGCAGCAGUGGGGAAUAUUGGACAAGGGGCGAAAGCCUGAUCCAGCCAUGCCGCGUGUGUGAAGAAGGUCUUCGGAGUGUAAAGCACUUUAAGUUGGGAGGAAGGGCAGUAAGUUAAUACCUUGCUGUUUGGACGUUACCAACAGAAUAAGCACCGGCAAACUUCGU
Molecule: ribosomal RNA, 483 nt
Filed under: uncultured bacterium
Lineage: Bacteria
Description: partial 16S ribosomal RNA
Rfam family: Bacterial small subunit ribosomal RNA
Source: RNAcentral